GAGCUCACCUGUGACCGCCCAGCUCCAGACAAUCGACUUGCCUCCAGCUACGCCCUCUGAGACAGCAGACCACUACCUGCUGUGUCCAUCAAGCACUGUGCCGACAGGGCAAUCUUGUGACUAUUGUGGGAGGGACAUUUCAAUCACAUGUGAAACACCCCGUUUGGGGGUAUAUAACCACUCUGGCACCCCACUUCUUGGGUGCCCUUUCUUCCUUCUGGAAGAAAGGCCCCGGGCCAUGGUUCCUCAUAAAGCUUUGUUUAAUUUUCUCUUGCUAUUCUGUCUCAUGUGAAUUUAAUUCGUUCUCCAGCCAGACGAACCCCUAUUUGGGGAGAGGAAAUGUCCUCCUCCCCUACAGUUUUGGCGUAGUUGGCAGGCUGAAAUUUCCCUGGCUGGACACUGCUUGCUCCUAGACUGCUGCGGCUGAGAGAUCCCAGACCCCUGACGAGAGCCGGCAAGAGAAAUACUUCUUAAACACCUGAUUGCUUGCUUCCAAAAUAAAGGCCUAACUUUGGGAGCCCACCUGCGUCGCCACCUUCUAAAAUGAAUUUAACUGGACUGAUCUAUUACCAGGACUAAGAAAUGUGUUCAGUGAGAUGAAACAAUCUACUACCACUCAGCUUCUGGAUUGUGAAACUUUUAGUUUCAAAGGCGGGACUGUAGGGACCUGAAAUUGGCCACCCCAAG
This 687-nucleotide long non-coding RNA is filed under the name Equus asinus (donkey). RNAcentral describes it as "lncRNA (ENSEASG00005029539.1)". Lineage: Eukaryota; Metazoa; Chordata; Mammalia; Perissodactyla; Equidae. The record is from RNAcentral.